RNAcentral lists this ribosomal RNA (420 nucleotides) under uncultured bacterium. RNAcentral describes it as "bacterial SSU rRNA". It matches the Rfam family "Bacterial small subunit ribosomal RNA", at positions 954 to 1372 of the family's 1533-position model. The record is from RNAcentral.
GCUUAACGCGAAGAACCUUACCAGGCCUUGACAUGCAGAGAACUUUCCAGAGAUGGAUUGGUGCCUUCGGGAACUCUGACACAGGUGCUGCAUGGCUGUCGUCAGCUCGUGUCGUGAGAUGUUGGGUUAAGUCCCGUAGCGAGCGCAACCCGUUGUCCUUAGUUACCAGCACGUCAUGGUGGGCACUCUAAGGAGACUGCCGGUGACAAACCGGAGGAAGGUGGGGAUGACGUUAAGUCAUCGAUGGCCCUUAGGCCUGGGCUACACACGUGCUACAAUGGUCGGUACAGAGGGUUGCCAAGCCGCGAGGUGGAGCUAAUCUCACAAAACCGAUCGUAGUCCGGAUCGCAGUCUGCAACUCGACUGCGUGAAGUCGGAAUCGCUAGUAAUCGCGAAUCAGAAUGUCGCGGUGAAUACGUU